Oncorhynchus mykiss (rainbow trout) is the source of this 1227-nucleotide non-coding RNA. NCBI's taxonomy places the organism in Eukaryota, Metazoa, Chordata, Actinopteri, Salmoniformes, Salmonidae. The record is from RefSeq and is a predicted model, not a curated record.
UGCGACCUGGCCAAGACAAAGCAAAACAGUGCGACAAAAACAACAGAUAUAGACACAGAUGGUUGACAAUAUGGCGUGAAGAUAAGUGCAAUGCUUGUCUGCUUCGAAAUAAAUGGGUUAUGCAUCUUAAUGACCCACAAACAUAAAAAGUGGAAGUGUUAAACGUAGCUCUCAUGCUGGAAAAGGUUAGAGACUGGUCUAAGAUCUCCAACUAGCUGCUUGGUGUAGUUACCAUUGCUUUCCAAUAGAUGGCAGCCUUAGCUAGCUCACAACUCUAGAAACAGGGUCAGGGUGUUGAUAGAUGUUCAAAGCAGUUUUAUCUUCCAAUCUAGUUUCUCUGGCUACACUUGAACCCGUUGUUAUAGUGGACUAAGUGAAUUUAUACUAGUUUUUAGAAACAUUGUCUUAGAAUUACAAGAUACGAAUGUGAUUCAUCAUUUUAGUUGGACAGAUUGUGUAGUUUUUGUCAUAAGGCAUUAUUACAUAAGGAGCUGACAUUAGUUUUAGGUAGUUGCCUUUGCUUAACAUUAGUUUUAGGUAGUUUGCAUGUUCAACUAGCUGGUCUCGCUAGAUUACGAUUCACAUAUAGCUAAGUUAUAAUUAUAAAGUUUGCUUUAUGUAAUUAUUUUGUGUCUCGUCUGUAUCGCCAUUAGCCUGGAUGGCAGCGUAUUAGUGAUGAUUGACUACCAUAGCUAGGAGGGCAUAGUUGAGCUGAGGUGAUUCUCAUCUGUAGUUGGAGAGGAGGAAAGAGCUUCCUGUUUACAUAGCUGAGGUGAUUCUCAUCUGUAGUUGGAGAGGAGGAAAGAGCUUCCUGUUUACAUAGCUGAGAUGAUUCUCGUCUGUAGUUGGAGAGGAGGAAAGAGCUUCCUGUUUACAUAGCUGAGAUGAUUCUCGUCUGUAGUUGGAGAGGAGGAAAGAGCUUCCUGUUUACAUAGCUGAGGUGAUUCUCAUCUGUAGUUGGAGAUGAGGAAAGAGCUUCCUGUUUACAUAGCUGAGGUGAUUCUCGUCUACUGACUCCCGUCCUCUCACUUCAAAAAGAUGACCUGACAGAGAGAAGUGAUGACAACAAGUGCAGACUCUAACUUGACAAUGUAUUUCAAAUAGUUUUUGAGCAAAUUCCAUCUGGGAGGGAAGCUGACUGCUGCCCUGGCAAAGGAAAACAAAGGGAAAAUUUAAAUAAAAAGUACAAGGCCUGUCGGCUAGUCCACCACCACCACCAGGCCUGUC